CAGGAUCCGCACUGGAGAGCUCACCAGCAGCUGCUCCUUGGGCAUUUACACCUCUCACCCCCUGGCAGCAGGAGGAAAACCAUUACGAACCCAACAGUUUAAAGGGGGAAAGAUGAGUGGCUGGAGGGAGAAGGGAUAGCACCAGAAUGCCUCCCUGACCGCCCGUGGUUUGCUCAAAUAGGAUCGAUGGACUGCAGGCAGUCGUCAAGACGCUGAGCAGACAGGGGUUCUUUCUCUCUGAAAGUGGCAUUCACUGAGCUGGCACCGACAGAUCGAAGGGCGGAAAGGAAUUUUGCAGCGACUCGGGGAGGAAUUUGGACCUAAAUACAGACUGGAAGCCCCCUUUGCAAGUGACUCUUCCUACUGUGCUGUGCUCACCGUUCUGUAGCAGUCAUGUCUGUCGAGCUAUCAUAUGGGUUUCCAAGAGUUCUUCAGUUCCAGGUUGCCAAAUGGCUGCUGCCUCCAGUUUUUAACUAUAGCUAACAAUAAUUGUUUGGAUGUGUUUGUAAA
Molecule: long non-coding RNA, 510 nt
Organism: Arvicola amphibius (Eurasian water vole)
Lineage: Eukaryota; Metazoa; Chordata; Mammalia; Rodentia; Cricetidae
Exons: 3
Source: RefSeq, a predicted model, not a curated record